GACGAACGCUGGCGGCGUGCUGAACACAUGCAAGUCGAACGGUGAAGCUCCAGCUUGCUGGAGUGGAUCAGUGGCGAACGGGUGAGUAACACGUGAGCAACCUGCCCCUGACUCUGGAAUAAGCGCUGGAAACGGCGUCUAAUACUGGAUACGAGAAGGGUCCGCAUGGGCACUUUCUGGAAAGUUUUUCGGUUGGGGAUGGGCUCGCGGCCUAUCAGCUUGUUGGUGAGGUAAUGGCUCACCAAGGCGACGACGGGUAGCCGGCCUGAGAGGGCGACCGGCCACACUGGGACUGAGACACGGCCCAGACUCCUACGGGAGGCAGCAGUGGGGAAUAUUGCACAAUGGGCGAAAGCCUGAUGCAGCGACGCCGCGUGAGGGAUGACGGCCUUCGGGUUGUAAACCUCUUUCAGCAGGGAAGAAGCGAAAGUGACGGUACCUGCAGAAGAAGCACCGGCUAACUACGUG
Molecule: ribosomal RNA, 468 nt
Filed under: uncultured bacterium
Lineage: Bacteria
Description: partial 16S ribosomal RNA
Rfam family: Bacterial small subunit ribosomal RNA
Source: RNAcentral